Molecule: ribosomal RNA, 1134 nt
Filed under: uncultured bacterium
Lineage: Bacteria
Description: bacterial SSU rRNA
Rfam family: Bacterial small subunit ribosomal RNA
Source: RNAcentral
AGUAACGAAUAUUCCGCAAUGGGCGCAAGCCUGACGGAGCGACGCCGCGUGUGGGAUGAAGUCCUUCGGGAUGUAAACCACUGUCAGGGAUUACCAAGCAAAGGGAGUUAACAGCUCCCGGCGUUGAGGAGUCCCACAGGAAGCCACGGCUAACUUCGUGCCAGCAGCCGCGGUAAGACGAAGGUGGCAAGCGUUGUUCGGAAUCACUGGGCUUAAAGAGCACGUAGGCGGCUCAUCAAGCGUCUUGUGAAAGCCCCCGGCUUAACCGGGGAAUUGCAGGGCGAACUGAUGGGCUUGAGGCAGGUAGGGGCGAGUGGAACUCUUGGUGGAGCGGUGGAAUGCGUAGAUAUCAAGAGGAACGCCGGCGGCGAAGGCGACUCGCUGGGCCUGUCCUGACGCUGAGGUGCGAAAGCCAGGGGAGCGAACGGGAUUAGAUACCCCGGUAGUCCUGGCCCUAAACGAUGUCCACUAGGUCGGAGGCUUUCUGACAAGGUUCCGGCCGAAACAAAAGCGAUAAGUGGACCGCCUGGGGAGUACGGUCGCAAGGCUAAAACUCAAAGGAAUUGACGGGGGCUCACACAAGCGGUGGAGCAUGUUGCUCAAUUCGAUGCAACGCGAAGAACCUUAUCCUGGGCUUGACAUGCGCGGAUGCCCGCUGGGAAACCAGCUUGGCUGCCCUUCGGGGUGAAACGUGCACAGGUGCUGCAUGGCUGUCGUCAGCUCGUGUCGUGAGAUGUUGGGUUAAGUCCCGUAACGAGCGAAACCCUUGUCGCUAGUUGCCAGCGGGUUAUGCCGGGAACUCUAGCGAGACUGCCGGUGUCAAACCGGAGGAAGGUGGGGAUGACGUCAAGUCCUCAUGGCCUUUAUGCCCAGGGCUGCAAACGUGCUACAAUGGCCGGUACAAACCGACGCGAAACCGCGAGGUGGAGCAAAUCGGAAAAAAGCGGCCCCAGUUCGGAUUGGAGUCUGCAAUUCGACUCCAUGAAGUCGGAAUCGCUAGUAAUCGCGUAUCAGAACGACGCGGUGAAUGUGUUCCUGAGCCUUGUACACACCGCCCGUCAAGUCAUGGAAGCCGGGAGCGCCCGAAGUCGGUCCAAAUCAGGGCUGCCGAAGGUGAGCUCGGUAACUGGGACU